AUAUGGUGGCAUACUCAUUAGCACUAUAUAAAUCUCUAAAGAACAUUGUAUAUGGACAAGGAUGAACACUACAAUGAGCUUUUCUCUCAAACUCACGUUUUGUUUGGUUUUUGUCGUCAUUGCUUCAGAAUCUGAAGCGAGAGAAGGAGGCGUUGUACGUUUGUGUCCUAGACUUUGCUUUGUCGAUGAGAGUGCAUGUGUUAACAACUUCUGUAUAUGUAAAGAGGAACACGUUGGCUCAUUACGAGCGUGUUGCGACAAUUGUGUUGGUUCAUUGUGUUAUUGUCCACCCAAGUGUGAUUGUUCACAAUCCAAAGUUCUUAUAAACACUUUUAUUGCUAGUCAAAGUCAUUUAUCACAAAUUGUAAACUGAGUAUUAGGCAUAUGAUGUUGUAUUGAGAUCAAUUCAUUAAUAAUAAUUUUUAUUGAAAUGCUUGAUUGAUACAA
Non-coding RNA from Cicer arietinum (chickpea), 447 nucleotides. Lineage: Eukaryota; Viridiplantae; Streptophyta; Magnoliopsida; Fabales; Fabaceae. The record is from RefSeq and is a predicted model, not a curated record.